GUCUCUUCACAUCCCUCGAUGGGCCUGUUCGACUGUUGUGGCUGGACUGCGACAUCACCCCACACUUGCUGAGUCAAAAUUCUUCAUUUGAAAAGAUCCCCAGAUUUCUGGUGCUGACUGCCUCAGGACACACUCAUAUUGCAAUAUGACCUCUGUUCCUGAAUCUUUGAGUUGAGGGUGAACCGACAAGCUGAACUUGCCAACUGCAUGGAAACUACUAGAGUCCAUUUCAACAUAUCAAGUGGGAGACAUUACUGUGAGAUUCACACUUUAGCACUGCACUUCGGUUGCCCAUAAAGACCAAAGGAAGCCAUGGGAAGAGGAAGAAGCCAUGGGAAAAUGGAACAAUGGCUCGUUAACAUGUAUAGAAAAGACAACCUGGCUGGAACUCUGAGAGGCCACCUGUGCAGGUACAGUUCCCCCUGACCCCCACCAAUGUUUGCUGGGUGUUCGAGGAAGCUAAACCCAAUAUGUUAGUGCUCAUGAACUCUGGGAAGGAAUAACAACAGCUCUACUCUGAGGUAAUCUCUGAAGAAGUGAACAAAAAAGUGAAUGAAUUUCUCUGCUAACUAGAGAGGAUGAUACAGCAUGGACAUCUGGGGGCCUGUGGUCCUGAAAGAGCACCUUGUAGGCGGGCAGAGGCCCAAGGCUGGUGUCACUGGAGCAGACUGGAGCAGGAGGACCGCUGAGCUGUAAGUAGUGGUGGUGAUGGUGUUUGAUGAACUCUUUGCUCAGUGAGCACUUUCUGUAGUACC
Long non-coding RNA from Manis javanica (Malayan pangolin), 755 nucleotides. RefSeq lists it as uncharacterized. NCBI's taxonomy places the organism in Eukaryota, Metazoa, Chordata, Mammalia, Pholidota, Manidae. The record is from RefSeq and is a predicted model, not a curated record.